RNAcentral lists this ribosomal RNA (305 nucleotides) under uncultured bacterium. RNAcentral's name for it is "bacterial SSU rRNA". It matches the Rfam family "Bacterial small subunit ribosomal RNA", at positions 338 to 634 of the family's 1533-position model. The record is from RNAcentral.
CCUACGGGACGCAGCAGUGGGGAAUCUUCCGCAAUGGGCGCAAGCCUGACGGAGCAACGCCGCGUGAAUGAAGAAGGUCUUCGGAUCGUAAAGUUCUGUUCUUAGGGAAGAAGUCUUAGGUUGUGAAUAAUGACUUAAGGUGACGGUACCUAUGGAGAAAGCUCCGGCUAAAUACGUGCCAGCAGCCGCGGUAAUACGUAUGGAGCAAGCGUUAUCCGGAUUUACUGGGUGUAAAGGGAGCGUAGGCGGCCCUGUAAGUCUGAUGUGAAAAUUUGGGGCUCAACCCCAAACGUGCAUUGGAAACU